RNAcentral lists this unclassified non-coding RNA (253 nucleotides) under uncultured Cytophagales bacterium. RNAcentral's name for it is "contains 16S-23S intergenic spacer region". It matches the Rfam family "Bacterial small subunit ribosomal RNA", at positions 524 to 776 of the family's 1533-position model. Lineage: Bacteria; Pseudomonadati; Bacteroidota; Sphingobacteriia; Sphingobacteriales. The record is from RNAcentral.
UACGGAGGGUGCAAGCGUUGUCCGGCUUUAUUGGGCUUAAAGGGUGCGUAGGCGGGGAAUUAAGACAGUGGUGAAAGCCGACAGCUCAACUGUCGAACCGCCAUUGAUACUGGUUAUCUUGAGUAUAGUUGAGGCAGGCGGAAUUUACGAUGUAGCGGUGCAAUGCAUAGAUAUCGUAAAGAACACCGAUAGUGAAGGCAGCUUGCUAAACUAUAACUGACGCUGAGGCACGAAAGCAUGGGGAGCGAACAGG